This is a long non-coding RNA of Cucurbita moschata (crookneck pumpkin), 804 nucleotides long. RefSeq lists it as uncharacterized. The transcript is spliced from 3 exons. Lineage: Eukaryota; Viridiplantae; Streptophyta; Magnoliopsida; Cucurbitales; Cucurbitaceae. The record is from RefSeq and is a predicted model, not a curated record.
AUGAUGAUGGAGAAUUGUUUGGUGAUUCUGAUGAAGGGGAUGGAGCUGCGGCAGGGCCUGAUGGUGGUGAAUCUUGGGAUGAUAGAAUUAUGGCGAGAAGCUGAUAUAUGCAUCCAAACAAUCACAAAACAUCUCCCCCAUGGAAAUGAAAGCUAACAACCAAAAAAGAAAACUGUAGAAAAUUGUAGAAAACAGAUGCAUUACCAUAUAUGGUUCGAAUUCCGAGGAGGCGAAAUGGCAAUCGCCGGCAGUGGUGAGAACCAUUUCGACGGUCUUCGUUCUGGCCUCUGAACUGGAAAUUGCCAAUGCGCUGAGGAGGAUCACAAAUACAACCACAUAACCAGGUCUUCUCAAUUCCAUUUCUGUGUGAACCCUCAUUCCAUCCGUAAUUUUCUCUUUUCAUUUCAUCGAACUCAAAGGAAUUUCUUUAUCUCAAACCCAUUCGUUCCAAUUGAAAGGUGCGAAUCAAUCGUCCACUACGAUGGAAUUACUUCAAUCUCAUGCACACAACUGUUGUGAAAUCGACGAAAUUACGAGGUUUGAGAGGUUGAAUCCCUUGGCCGGCGGAUGAUAUUUUUGUUCCUCCUCAGCAGAAUUUCCCCUGGGUUUUGCCUUCGAAAUCAAAAAAGUGGAAUUCUUUUCCCCCCGUUGUAUUUCCAAGAUAUCUUUUCUUGAUAUCCGAAAGGGAGGGAAAAAAAUGUUGCGUUAAACACAGACGUCCCGGGAACUAUGAGGAAAACCCUUUUUCCUUUUUCCUUCUUUUUUUUUUUUUUUUUAAAUUUUUUUAUUUUAUUUAACUUUUUU